GACGAACGCUGGCGGCGUGCCUAACACAUGCAAGUCGAACGGAGAAUUAGCAAUAAUUCUUAGUGGCGAACGGGUGAGUAACGCGUAGACAGCCUACCCUUUAGAUGGGGACAACACCGCGAAAGUGGUGCUAAUACCGAAUAUUGCUUGAGAAGCGCAUGCUUUUCAAACUAAAGAUGGCCUCUAUUUAUAAGCUAUCGCUAAAGAAUGGGUCUGCGUCUGAUUAGCUAGUUGGUGAGAUAAAAGCUCACAAAGGAAACGAUCAGUAGCCGGUCUGAGAGGAUGAACGGCCACACUGGGACUGAGACACGGCCCAGACUCCUACGGGAGGCAGCAGUGGGGAAUCUUCCGCAAUGGACGAAAGUCUGACGGAGCAACGCCGCGUGAGUGAUGAAGGUUUUCGGAUCGUAAAACUCUGUUGUUAAGGACGAAUGUAUAGAUUGUGAAUAAUGGUUUAUAAUGACGGUACUUAACGAGGAAGCCACGGCUAACCACGUGCCAGCCGCCGCAGUAA
RNAcentral lists this ribosomal RNA (514 nucleotides) under uncultured bacterium. RNAcentral's name for it is "partial 16S ribosomal RNA". It matches the Rfam family "Bacterial small subunit ribosomal RNA", at positions 28 to 523 of the family's 1533-position model. The record is from RNAcentral.